This 2035-nucleotide ribosomal RNA is filed under the name groundwater metagenome. RNAcentral describes it as "bacterial SSU rRNA". It matches the Rfam family "Eukaryotic small subunit ribosomal RNA". The record is from RNAcentral.
CCUGGUUGAUUCUGCCAGUAGUCAUAUGCUUGUUUCGAGGAUUAAGCCAUGCAAGCCUGAGAGUAAACGCUCGUAUCGUGGGUCUGCGAACGGCUCAUUAAACCAGAAAUGAUCUGUACGGUGAAAGUGGGAGCCUUAGGGUUUCCCGCCAUUCGGAUAACCUCGCGAAACGCGUGGCUAAUACGUGGACGAACGUCGCCGUUUCCAACAUCUUGCAGCUUCCUCGCGUUGUUGCAAGGGAUCGGUGGCGCCUUUGCCCGGCACAAGAAUCAACGCCAGCAAUGGCAGUGAACUAUUGAUGAAUCAGGGCAAAGAGCGAAAGCAGCCUUCGUGGCUGCGAGACCGUACAGAGUUUCUGCCCUAUCAGCUUCCGAUGGUAGCGUAUUGGGCUACCAUGGCCGUAACGGGUACGUGGAAUUAGGGUUCGAUUCCGGAGAGGGAGCCUGAGAAACGGCUGCCACUUCCACGGAGGGCAGCAGGCGCGAAAAUUGCCCACUUCCAACACUGGAGAGGCAGCGAAGAGGAAUACCAGCUCCGCCCACUACGUGGUGUGGGGCUUGGAAUGGGGGGUACCAAAACCCACCGUCGAGUAUCAAUUGGAGGACAAGUCUGGUGCCAGCACCCGCGGUAAUUCCAGCUCCAAUAGCGUAUAUUAACGCUGCUGCUGUUAAAGGGUUCGUAGUUGGUUUCAGAGUCCGUGGACGUAAUCGGGUCUCCGGACCACCAACGGUUGCACCACCCACGGCUCUGUUCAGGUGGGACAGGUGCCCUGCGGAACCAGACUUCGGUUUGGGGAAGCACGCCGCAUACACUCUAUGCGCACGGGCCGCCCGCCGUUAUUACUGUGAGCAAAACAGCGUGUUCAAGGCAGGGUAUUGGUCCCUGAAUGAUAAAGCAUGGAAUAACAAUGGAUCGCACGAUUGCGCUUCCUUUUGUUGGUUUUUAAAGCCGAUUUGUACAACGUGUAGGUCACUUCCCUUCAGUUGCACCGGGCCAUUUCCUUCGGGUCGUGACAACGGUUGCGCUGCUUGGGGCGAGCUACAAUGGGAUCAACGGAGGCUGUCGGGGGAAGACGUAUGGUUGCGUCAGAGGUGAAAUUCUUAGACCGCAGCCAGACGAACUUAUGCGAAGGCAUCUUCCAAGUAUGUCUUCGUCAAUCAAGAACCAAAGUGUGGAGAUCGAAGAUGAUUAGAUACCAUUGUAGUCCACUACUGCAAACGAUGACGCCCCCGGAUUGAGCAUCCGUCCGGCUGCGCCCAGUACUCCGUAUACUCUUCACGGGAAACCAGAGGUUACGGUCUCAUGGGGGAGUACGUUCGCAAGGCUGAAACUUAAAGAAAUUGACGGAAUGGCACCACAAGGCGUGGAGCGUGCGGUUUAAUUUGACUCAACACGGGGAACCUUACCAGGUCCGGACAACGUCAGGAUUGACAGAUUGAGAGCUCUUUCUCGAUUCGUUUGACGGUGGUGCAUGGCCGCUCCUGGUUCGUGAAGUGAUUUGUUUGGUUGAUUCCGUUAACGAACGAGAUCUCACCCGCCCAAUAGGGGCACGGUCGACUCAAACCCCCGGCUUUCACACCUUCGGGUGCUGAAGUUGGGGAAAGACCGUGACCUCUUCUCAGCGGCACCUGGCGUGCUUUGCAGCACCAUGGAGCGAGCCAAUAGCAGGUCUGUGAUGCUCCUAAAUGUCCUGGGCAACACGCGCACUACAAUGGCAGAGCCAACGAGUCUGGAUCGUUUCUACGAGCCUUCUCCUGAAGGGAGCGGGUAAACUGAAAACUCUGUCGUGCCUGGGAUCGAGGCUUGCAAUUGUUUCUCUUCAACGAGGAAUGCCUAGUAGGCGCAAGUCAUCAGCUUGCACUGAUUACGUCCCUGCCAUUUGUACACACCGCCCGUCGUUGCUACCGAUUGGGUGACAGAUAGAGUUUGUUGGACUGGAAGUCAGCUCGUUCUGGCGAUCAGGAAGUCAAGCAAUGUCUAUCAUCUAGAGGAAGCAAAAGUCGUAACAAGGUAGCUGUAGGUGAACCUGCAGCUG